GCCUGGGUGGCUCAGUUGGUUGAGCAUCUGACUUUGGUUCAGGUCAUGAUCUCGUGGUCUGUGAGUUUGAGCCCCACAUCGGGCU
This 85-nucleotide transfer RNA is filed under the name Felis catus (domestic cat). It matches the Rfam family "tRNA". Rfam says of the family: Transfer RNA (tRNA) molecules are approximately 80 nucleotides in length. Lineage: Eukaryota; Metazoa; Chordata; Mammalia; Carnivora; Felidae. The record is from Rfam by way of RNAcentral. RNAcentral also lists the same sequence under 4 other names.